AUAUUUCGCCGCGGCGAGCGUGAAGGCGAGGCCGCGGCUCUCGCCGCCGGCGGCGCGGUCGAGCCGGAGCAGCCGUUCCAUGCGGUCGAGAUAUUC
Molecule: transfer RNA, 96 nt
Filed under: Mesorhizobium sp. L-8-10
Lineage: Bacteria; Pseudomonadati; Pseudomonadota; Alphaproteobacteria; Hyphomicrobiales; Phyllobacteriaceae
Description: tRNA-Arg
Source: RNAcentral